CGCGGGGUGGAGCAGUCUGGUAGCUCGUCGGGCUCAUAACCCGGAGGUCGCAGGUUCAAAUCCUGUCCCCGCAACCA
This 77-nucleotide transfer RNA is filed under the name Piscibacillus salipiscarius. RNAcentral describes it as "tRNA-Met". It matches the Rfam family "tRNA". From Rfam's summary of the family: Transfer RNA (tRNA) molecules are approximately 80 nucleotides in length. Their secondary structure includes four short double-helical elements and three loops (D, anti-codon, and T loops). Lineage: Bacteria; Bacillati; Bacillota; Bacilli; Caryophanales; Bacillaceae. RNAcentral also lists the same sequence under 5 other names. The record is from RNAcentral.